UACAGAGGUCCCGAGCGUUGUUCGGAUUCACUGGGCGUAAAGGGUGCGUAGGUGGCGAGGUAAGUCGGAUGUGAAAGCUCGGAGCUCAACUCCGAAAUGGCAUUGGAAACUACCUUGCUCGAGGGUUGGAGGGGGGACUGGAAUGCUUGGUGUAGCAGUGAAAUGCGUAGAUAUCAAGCGGAACACCAGUGGCGAAGGCGAGUCCCUGGACAACUCCUGACACUGAGGCACGAAAGCUAGGGGAGCAAAC
Molecule: ribosomal RNA, 250 nt
Filed under: uncultured bacterium
Lineage: Bacteria
Description: partial 16S ribosomal RNA
Rfam family: Bacterial small subunit ribosomal RNA
Source: RNAcentral